RNAcentral lists this ribosomal RNA (2906 nucleotides) under Serratia marcescens. Its description in RNAcentral is "bacterial LSU rRNA". It matches the Rfam family "Bacterial large subunit ribosomal RNA". The record is from RNAcentral. Lineage: Bacteria; Pseudomonadati; Pseudomonadota; Gammaproteobacteria; Enterobacterales; Yersiniaceae.
UUAAGUGACUAAGCGUACACGGUGGAUGCCUAGGCAGUCAGAGGCGAUGAAGGGCGUGCUAAUCUGCGAAAAGCGUCGGUAAGGUGAUAUGAACCGUUACAACCGGCGAUACCCGAAUGGGGAAACCCAGUGUGUUUCGACACACUAUCAUGUCAUGAAUACAUAGUGGCAUGAGGCGAACCGGGGGAACUGAAACAUCUAAGUACCCCGAGGAAAAGAAAUCAACCGAGAUUCCCCCAGUAGCGGCGAGCGAACGGGGAGGAGCCCAGAACCUGAAUCGGCUUGUGUGUUAGUGGAAGCGUCUGGAAAGUCGCGCAGUAAAGGGUGAUAGCCCCGUACACUAAAAUGCACAGGUCGUGAGUUCGAUGAGUAGGGCGGGACACGUGACAUCCUGUCUGAAUAUGGGGGGACCAUCCUCCAAGGCUAAAUACUCCUGACUGACCGAUAGUGAACCAGUACCGUGAGGGAAAGGCGAAAAGAACCCCGGCGAGGGGAGUGAAAUAGAACCUGAAACCGUGUACGUACAAGCAGUGGGAGCACCUUCGUGGUGUGACUGCGUACCUUUUGUAUAAUGGGUCAGCGACUUAUAUUUUGUAGCAAGGUUAACCGUAUAGGGGAGCCGUAGGGAAACCGAGUCUUAACUGGGCGAAUAGUUGCAAGGUAUAGACCCGAAACCCGGUGAUCUAGCCAUGGGCAGGUUGAAGGUUGGGUAACACUAACUGGAGGACCGAACCGACUAAUGUUGAAAAAUUAGCGGAUGACUUGUGGCUGGGGGUGAAAGGCCAAUCAAACCGGGAGAUAGCUGGUUCUCCCCGAAAGCUAUUUAGGUAGCGCCUCGUGAACUCAUCUUCGGGGGUAGAGCACUGUUUCGGCUAGGGGGCCAUCCCGGCUUACCAAACCGAUGCAAACUCCGAAUACCGAAGAAUGUUAUCACGGGAGACACACGGCGGGUGCUAACGUCCGUCGUGAAGAGGGAAACAACCCAGACCGCCAGCUAAGGUCCCAAAGUCAUGGUUAAGUGGGAAACGAUGUGGGAAGGCAUAGACAGCCAGGAUGUUGGCUUAGAAGCAGCCAUCAUUUAAAGAAAGCGUAAUAGCUCACUGGUCGAGUCGGCCUGCGCGGAAGAUGUAACGGGGCUAAACCAUGCACCGAAGCUGCGGCAGCGACGCUUAGGCGUUGUUGGGUAGGGGAGCGUUCUGUAAGCCGUUGAAGGUGGCCUGUGAGGGUUGCUGGAGGUAUCAGAAGUGCGAAUGCUGACAUAAGUAACGAUAAAGCGGGUGAAAAGCCCGCUCGCCGGAAGACCAAGGGUUCCUGUCCAACGUUAAUCGGGGCAGGGUGAGUCGACCCCUAAGGCGAGGCUGAAAAGCGUAGUCGAUGGGAAACAGGUUAAUAUUCCUGUACUUGGUGUUACUGCGAAGGGGGGACGGAGAAGGCUAGGCUAGCCGGGCGACGGUUGUCCCGGUUUAAGCGUGUAGGGGGUGUGACCUGGUAAAUCCGGUUGCAUAUCAACCCUGAGGCGUGAUGACGAUGCACUACGGUGCAGAAGUAGUUGAUGCCCUGCUUCCAGGAAAAGCCUCUAAGCUCCAGGUAACAUUAAAUCGUACCCCAAACCGACACAGGUGGUCAGGUAGAGAAUACCAAGGCGCUUGAGAGAACUCGGGUGAAGGAACUAGGCAAAAUGGUGCCGUAACUUCGGGAGAAGGCACGCUGGCAUGUAGGUGAAGUCCCUUGCGGAUGGAGCUGAAGCCAGUCGAAGAUACCAGCUGGCUGCAACUGUUUAAUAAAAACACAGCACUGUGCAAACACGAAAGUGGACGUAUACGGUGUGACGCCUGCCCGGUGCUGGAAGGUUAAUUGAUGGGGUCAGCCGCAAGGCGAAGCUCUUGAUCGAAGCCCCAGUAAACGGCGGCCGUAACUAUAACGGUCCUAAGGUAGCGAAAUUCCUUGUCGGGUAAGUUCCGACCUGCACGAAUGGCGUAAUGAUGGCCAGGCUGUCUCCACCCGAGACUCAGUGAAAUUGAACUCGCUGUGAAGAUGCAGUGUACCCGCGGCAAGACGGAAAGACCCCGUGAACCUUUACUAUAGCUUGACACUGAACAUUGAGCCUUGAUGUGUAGGAUAGGUGGGAGGCUUUGAAGCGUGGACGCCAGUCUGCGUGGAGCCAUCCUUGAAAUACCACCCUUUAAUGUUUGAUGUUCUAACUCGGCCCCAUAAUCUGGGGUGAGGACAGUGUCUGGUGGGUAGUUUGACUGGGGCGGUCUCCUCCCAAAGAGUAACGGAGGAGCACGAAGGUUAGCUAAUCACGGUCGGACAUCGUGAGGUUAGUGCAAAGGCAUAAGCUAGCUUGACUGCGAGAGUGACGGCUCGAGCAGGUACGAAAGUAGGUCUUAGUGAUCCGGUGGUUCUGAAUGGAAGGGCCAUCGCUCAACGGAUAAAAGGUACUCCGGGGAUAACAGGCUGAUACCGCCCAAGAGUUCAUAUCGACGGCGGUGUUUGGCACCUCGAUGUCGGCUCAUCACAUCCUGGGGCUGAAGUAGGUCCCAAGGGUAUGGCUGUUCGCCAUUUAAAGUGGUACGCGAGCUGGGUUUAGAACGUCGUGAGACAGUUCGGUCCCUAUCUGCCGUGGGCGUUGGAAGAUUGAGAGGGGUUGCUCCUAGUACGAGAGGACCGGAGUGAACGCACCACUGGUGUUCGGGUUGUCAUGCCAAUGGCAUUGCCCGGUAGCUAAGUGCGGAAAAGAUAAGCGCUGAAAGCAUCUAAGCGCGAAACUUGCCUCAAGAUGAGUCUUCCCUGGGCCUUUAAGGUCCCUGAAGGAACGUUUAAGACUAAGACGUUGAUAGGCUGGGUGUGUAAGUGCAGCGAUGCAUUGAGCUAACCAGUACUAAUGAUCCGUGAGGCUUAACCUU